Molecule: long non-coding RNA, 493 nt
Organism: Monodelphis domestica (gray short-tailed opossum)
Lineage: Eukaryota; Metazoa; Chordata; Mammalia; Didelphimorphia; Didelphidae
Source: RefSeq, a predicted model, not a curated record
AGGCUAAUAUUCACUGUAUCCUCAUGUAACUUGUUUUCUUCAUUCCAUUUUCUUCCAGUUCUGCCACUCAACUGAGCCAUGCAAUCUGACCCUGAUAAUAAUAAUAGUAAUGAUUAGAAUGGAUUACAUUCAUUAUCUCAUUUUAUCCUUACAACACCAUGUGAGGGUCAUAUUUCAAUCUUUAGCACAACAGCAAAACAGAAGUGUCACCUGAGACCCUGGCAUAAGAUGACAAAGAAAUCUUUGAAUUUUUCUGCCAUAGCACACCGGAUCAUUCUUAUGGGUUCAAGAGAAACAGAGUGCCUUAGAAGUUAAUGGAUUUCUGAAGCCCAUGUAAAUCUGCCUUCCAUGAGACUGGGCUUUAUAACAGAGAACUUCACAAUUAUUGUGGUGUGUAUUUUCUUGAAUUUUAUAAGAGAUCUUAUUGUUUAAAUUCUUAUAUCCUUAUGUCAUAUGUGAAUAAAUGGCCUUAUUGUUCAUUUGAACAUGUCUU